RNAcentral lists this ribosomal RNA (253 nucleotides) under uncultured bacterium. RNAcentral describes it as "partial 16S ribosomal RNA". It matches the Rfam family "Bacterial small subunit ribosomal RNA", at positions 524 to 776 of the family's 1533-position model. The record is from RNAcentral.
UACAGAGGGGGCAAGCGUUGUUCGGAAUUACCGGGCGUAAAGGGCGCGUAGGCGGCCUGCUAAGUCGAACGUGAAAUCCCUGGGCUCAACCCAGGAACUGCGUCCGAUACUGGUUGGCUUGAAUCCGGGAGAGGGAUGUGGAAUUCCAGGUGUAGCGGUGAAAUGCGUAGAUAUCUGGAGGAACACCGGUGGCGAAGGCGACAUCCUGGACCGGUAUUGACGCUGAGGCGCGAAAGCCAGGGGAGCAAACGGG